AUUGAACGCUGGCGGCAUGCCUCACACAUGCAAGUCGAACGGCAGCACGGGAGCAAUCCUGGUGGCGAGUGGCGAACGGGUGAGUAAUACAUCGGAACGUGCCCAAUCGUGGGGGAUAACGUAGCGAAAGCUACGCUAAUACCGCAUACGAUCUAAGGAUGAAAGCGGGGGAUCGCAAGACCUCGCGCGAAUGGAGCGGCCGAUGGCAGAUUAGGUAGUUGGUGAGGUAAAGGCUCACCAAGCCUGCGAUCUGUAGCUGGUCUGAGAGGACGACCAGCCACACUGGGACGUAGACACGUCCCAGACUCCUACGGGAGGCAGAAGUGGGGAAUUUUUGACAAUGGUCGCGAGCCUGAUCCAGCAAUGCCGCGUGCAGGAUGAAGUCCUUCAGGUUGUAAACUGCUUUUGUACGGAACGAAACGGUCCUUUCUAAUACAAGGGGCUAAUGACGGUACCGUAAGAAUAAGCACCGGCUAACUACGUGCCAGCCGCCGCUGUAA
Molecule: ribosomal RNA, 500 nt
Filed under: uncultured bacterium
Lineage: Bacteria
Description: partial 16S ribosomal RNA
Rfam family: Bacterial small subunit ribosomal RNA
Source: RNAcentral